AUAAUAUAACCCGGUAUAUGUAAUAUACCGGGAGGUAAGAGUAAGAUAGGGUUAGGUUAAGACAAGGUAGAAUUAAUAGAAUAGAAUAAGAAUCUAACACCCGGUGAUCUCCGAAGGAGGUCACCGGGUGAGGCACAAAGUGAGGAUAGGUCAAUCAAUGUAUAGAUAACGAUAAAGAUAAUAUUAAUAAUAUUAACCACCUCAUCUUAUAGAGAUGAGGUGAGACAGGUUAAGUAAUAGAUAUAUUAUGAUAAUAGAUAGUAAUAAUAUAAUAUAAUAAUUAAGAUAAUUAGAUAAGAGAUAUAUUCUCCUAUAAGAGAAGUUAGAUAACAUGUCUUAGAUAAAAAUAAGUGAAGACUUAUAUAAAGGAGAGGUAAUGAAAAACUAGAGAUAGAUAAUAAUAUAUUAGUGUGGAACCGAUAACUAAUAUCUAUAUAGACAAAGUAGAAAGGAGUAACCGAUCUAAGCUAGAAAUAGUUAAAUAAUAAGGAUAUGAAUUGAAACAUCUUAGUAAUAUCUAAUAGAACCAACAGGGAUAAUAAAAAUACCGGUGAGGGAAAUUAUUAUUAAGUAUAAAAGUAAUACCAUGAGGUAUGAAGAUAGUAGUGCUACUACUAAUACGAAUAAGAGAUAUUAAGUUAUAAGUACCGUGAGGGAAAGUGGUAAGGGAGUUGUUAUUGACCGCCUUAAGGUAUUUAAUACCUUAAGGCGGUGAGUAUAUAAUAUACCCUGUAUAAACACUGAUAUAAGGAGCAGCUAUAGUAUAGCGUACCUCUUGUAUAAUGGGUCAGUGAGUCAUAUUGAAUAGCGAAAUAAAUAAUUAUAUAUAAUAAGUAUAAGUUAUUGGAUAUGGACCCGAAAGUAUAUGAUCUAUACAUGGUCAGGUUAAAUAGUAGAGAGACCCGCCCUUAGGGGCGGGUGCUAGAUUAUUUAGACCGAACAGGUGGGUGUAGCAAUACCUUCUGAAGAACUGUGUAUCGUUGUGAAAGGCUAAUCUCAUAUACAGAUAGCUGGUUAUCCGUGAAAUAUAUAUUAGUAUAGCCUUUAUUAAUUAUUUACUUGGUAAAUCACUAGAUAUAUGUUGGGAGUAAAUAUAGAACUUAUCAACUGUAUCUAAUAUCUGAACAAGUUAACAUCUCACCUAUAAGAUGAAUGUAUAAUUAAAUAAAGAGUCAGUCUUUAUGCGAUAAGGUAUAAAGACCAAAAGGGAAUAGCCUAGACUGUGAAAUGAAGGUCCCUAAUUAUAGUUAAGUGGAUAUAAUCCCAUGGUAUAUACCAUACUCUAUUUAAGCAAUUAGUCAGUUGAUAUGAUAGUAAUCAUCUGUUAAUGAACGUGUAACAACACACUAAUCGAAUAUAAAUGAAUAGAGGAUGGGAGUAGAUAAUCGGGCCUAUAACUAUAGACCAAAUUACAGAUCCACCCGACCGGAGGUCGGGUGGAUGGUAACGGAUCAUUCUAUGUAUACAAUAGAACAGAUAAUGCUGACUUGAGUAACGUUAGAUAGUAUGAAACUAUCCCCAUAAUGCAUAAGGUAUUACUACUAAUUAACGGCCUCUAAUAUAUAAUAUGAAAAUAUUAUAUAGAUGAGUAAUAUAACUAGAAAUUAAUAUAACCGUACUGUAGUCCGACACUGGUGUGCAAUAUAAUUAAUAUAUAUAUAAUAAUAUAUAAUUAUAUAAUGGGUAUGAGAUAAUCCCUGUGAAUGAACUCGGCAAUUAAGGGUAUAACUUUAUAAUUUAGUGCGACUGUUACCCAAAAACAUAGCCUACUGCUAACAUGGAAUGUAAGUAUAGUAGGUGAUACCUGCCCGGUGCUAGUAAGAUAAUUAAUAAUAUACUGGUUAACGGCGGUCUUAUCAUGAGGAUCCGAAGGUAGCGAAAUUCCUUGACGUAUAAUUGGCGUCCUGCAUGAAUGAUUACACGAUGCUAUAGAUGUAUCCACAGGGAGCUCAGUGAAAUAGUACUUGCAGUGUAGAUACUGUAUGUAGCAACAGGUUGACGAGAAGACCCUAUGCAGCUUUACUAUAAGACUAUAUUGUUACAAUAUUAUAAUUUAAGUAUAUAAAAUAAUUUAGCUUAUAUAUAUAAUAUAUUUAACUAACUAUACCUUCAGGUAUAGGACAUUAUAGUCUGGUUAGUUUCGAUGGGGCGUCGGCAUCACACAAAAUAACUGAUGUGUCUAACUGAUAAUUAAUAUAAACAUUCUAUUCAUUAUAUAAGAAUAUGAAUAUAAUAGUAUGACCAGGUACAGUAAGACUAGAUUGUAACUAGUACAUAAUAAUAUGUAUAUAACAUAUAUUAAAUGAUAUGGAUAAUAACCUAACUGUGCUAUGAUAAGGAGACUUACAAGUCGACUUAGUACGUAAGUAUAGUAUAAUGAACAGGUGAUUUCUUCAGCAUAGAGUGCCGAUAACGGAUCAAAGUUACGCUAGGGAUAACAGGGUAAUACCGCUAGAGAGUUGAUAUCGUCAGCGGUGUUUGCCACCUCGAUUAGAUAUAGUCGAGUAUAAAUGGGGUGAAUUGCAAGAAAGUCUAAGGGUCAUAACCACCCGACCUUCGUCGAAGGUCGGGUGGUAUUAUGGAAGGACCUAUGAUGACUUGCAGCGAAGUAUUAUUUAUACAUAUAACUCAACUCCAAAGGAGUUGGGUGAUAAAGAAUAAUAAACGUUCAACGACUAGAGAGUGAGUAGUAUAACAAUAUCUCUCCACGAGCGCUUCAGAAUAUAUAAGUAUAUAUAUUUAUGACAUAGUCUGAACUAUAAUGAAAAUUAUAGAUAUUAGUAUAAAGAGGCUAAUGAUAACAAUAUUGGUCGUCU
Molecule: ribosomal RNA, 2816 nt
Filed under: Candida albicans WO-1
Lineage: Eukaryota; Fungi; Ascomycota; Pichiomycetes; Serinales; Debaryomycetaceae
Description: bacterial LSU rRNA
Rfam family: Bacterial large subunit ribosomal RNA (bases 393-2619)
Source: RNAcentral